UACGAAGGGUGCUAGCGUUGUUCGGAAUUACUGGGCGUAAAGAGCGCGUAGGCGGUUAUACAAGUCAGGGGUGAAAUCCCAGAGCUUAACUCUGGAACUGCCUUUGAAACUGUAUAGCUGGAGUGUGUGAGGGGAUAGCGGAAUUCUUAAUGUAGAGGUGAAAUUCGUAGAUAUUAAGAGGAACACCGGUGGCGAAGGCGGCUACCUGGACAGAAACUGACGCUGAGGCGCGAAAGCUAGGGGAGCAAACAGG
RNAcentral lists this ribosomal RNA (253 nucleotides) under uncultured bacterium. Its description in RNAcentral is "partial 16S ribosomal RNA". It matches the Rfam family "Bacterial small subunit ribosomal RNA", at positions 524 to 776 of the family's 1533-position model. The record is from RNAcentral.